Long non-coding RNA from Leopardus geoffroyi (Geoffroy's cat), 3607 nucleotides. RefSeq lists it as uncharacterized. The transcript is spliced from 4 exons. NCBI's taxonomy places the organism in Eukaryota, Metazoa, Chordata, Mammalia, Carnivora, Felidae. The record is from RefSeq and is a predicted model, not a curated record.
CCCACAUAAGCCAGUUCCUUAAAAUAAAUCUCUUUUCUCUCUCUUUCUGCAUCUCUAUCUCUGUGUUCUACUUCUCUGGGGAAUCCUGACUGAUACAGCUGCUUUAAAUUUUUCUCUCUGGACUUUUCUGAACUUCUUGAAUUUAUGGGUUCAUGUUUCUCAUGAUUUAGGGAAAUUUGUCAGCCAUUAUCUCUUCAAAUAUUGAAAUUUUUUAACCCAAGGACUCCAGUGGCAGCUAUGACAGUUUUUUCCCCUUCCUUUUCCUCUCUGUGCUUCAGGUUGGAUGAGUUCUAUCAAAUUGAUUUUGAUUUUUCUGAUCUUUUCUCCUGCACCCAGGAUGUUGCUAAGCCCAGGGAAAUAAUUUGACUUCAGAUAUUGUAUUUAUCAGCUGUGAACUUGGGGGCACUCCAGCUCUCAAUCUGUCACACCAGCCCACUUGGCCUUGGAAAAUUUUGCCGUUUUCUCUUUCUUCAGAACAGUCUCUCUCUGUCACAGGCUCGGUCCUUAAUCCAUCUGGACAGACAUUUGGAAAAAAUCCCGAGAAAGAAAAGCUGCUGAUUUCUGCUUACUUAAGAGAGACAGUUCCCUCGUUGGAUUUUAAAUUCUUCAGAGUUUACUCUUUAGAUUCCAUAGCUCGUUGAUGGCUUUAAAAUGUGAAUUUUUAGUUUAUCCCUUUAUACAUGACUGUUAUGGAAGGAAAAUGGUCUUCCAUGACCCUAAAUCGUACAGGUAUGGAAUUUGGACAUUUUAAGAUAGAAGUCACAUCUUGGGCUCUCCUGCUUACACCUCCAACGGCUUCUCUUCACACUUGAUAUCCACACUCCUUACCAUGGGCAUGAGCACCAUGACCUCAUGACCCUGGGGGGUCUGAUCCUGAUGACCAUUCUAUAUGGACUUAACAUACUCCCGUGGCUGUCCUCCAGGCAUGCUGGCUUCUCCCCUUUUCCUACUCUUCCUUAUCUCAGGAAGUUAUACUUGGUAUUCUGUCUGCUUGGAUUUCUCUUCUCCCUGAUACUUUCAUAGGCCUCUCCUUCUCAUGCUUCAGGCCACAGCUCAAACGUCACCUCCUAAGAGAGGCUUUUCCUGAACACAUUAUCAUGUAUACCUCCCAUUCCCCAGCUUCUCUGUUCUAUUUCCUUUAAAUUAUUUAUGAUGCUCUGGAGUAAUUUCAUUGAUUUGCACUUUCUUAUUUAUGUCCUAGCUUCUGUCAAGAUAACAUGUAUUUUGUGAGGUAGUGGUCUAAUCUGUCCUGCUCAGCAUUGCAUUCUUAGGCUCUAGAACAAUACCUAACACACAGAAAGUGUGCAAUAAUGGUUACUGAACAAAUAAAUGAAAUUCCCAGGAUACUUACAGGAGCUGUUAGUACACAGGGCUGUGGAAGGGCAUAUCCCAACCACACACACACAAAUAUGCACAAUCAUGCAGAAGGCAUCGUAGGUACUGAUCUCAGAAGUGCUGGUGGAGGGGGCAGGGCAGCUCACUAAUGUCCAAGCCUGAGUCCAAAGGUUCCCAGGAGAGCAGGAAGGACUUGGCACUGUGAGGGCACAGAGCAUGCCAAAGAGGUGUCCUGGCUCGUGGUUCUUCUAUUGUCUGGUGUCAUAAAGAUGAACAGGAACAUUAACAGACUUGGAAUGAAGGCCACAAUGCUGAAGCACAAGGCCAGCAAAGCAUUUUUCUUUGCUAUGACUUUGUCUUCCAAACUAUUUGCUUCCCGUGCCUGUGGAAGAGAAGACAGGCUGAUAUUUUCCUAAAAAGAGGUGAAACAGGACUGCAGCUACAAUGGAGCAAAUGAUCAUAAUGGAGCCCACCAGGAUGCUUGAGAUGCUGAAGCCCAAGGCCAGUCUGGAAUUUAUCUGUGCCUUCCUCUGAUUUCCAUGAAAGUUGGCUUCCUGGCUCCCCUGGUCUUUGGAGAUGGAAAGGAGAUGUGCCUUCAUGAUGUCUGCUCUGGGAGACCACUGGGGAUGGGACCAAAGCCAUGGCUGAGAGCUACAACCUUCUACCUUCAGUCCAUGAAGUCCUAGGAUGGAAGAGAUGCAGAGGGUGGGGACUUUAGGUGAGGCAUGGGACAGGAGGGUGGCAAAGGGUCAGAGAGUGGCCAGCCUUGAUAGAGAAAGCUAAGAGAUGGGACCUCUAGGGGAAGAAUCAGACCUGAAAUAGUGAUUUUUCCGAGUGUGGUUCCUUGACCAGCCGUGUCAACAUCACCCAGAAAUCUCUUAAAAAUGCAAAUCCUUGCCCACUCCCACACUUACUGAGUAUAAAAUCCUGGUGGUGCCCAGCAAUCUGUGUUUUGAUAGGCCCUCCAAGUAAUUCUUAUACAAACUAAAGACUGAGAACUCCCAGAUAAGAAGAAUGAAUGAGAAAGAGUGGAAGUUCCCAGGCCCUUCUAGGAGCUUCACUCAGACCUCUGGCCUUUGUGUUUAGGAUGUUCCUUUGUUCUGGAGGUAUGGAAGCUCCCCAGCUGGGUCCUGCAUGGGGUUUUAUAUCCAUAAACAGUGGGGAAAACAUAAUAAAAUAGUUUCACCUAACCCAAAGAAAGAUAUUAAGUUUUCAAAUCAAGUUGAAAGUACUUAGGAAUCACUUAUCGACAUGACACAUAAAUCUAAUAUAUUGUCAUCAAAAUCCUCAAUUCUAAGACAUGACAGAAUUUUACAAGCUGGCGAACUGAACAAACAAGGUUAUUUAUAUGGAGAGGGAAUUAAAUAAACUAUAGAUGAUUAAGAGAAAAUACAGGGAAUUUAAUAACAGUAGACAUUUAAAAUGAUUCGGAGGGGGAAAGAGGAAUGUAUAUAGGCUGAGCAAGCUAGGGAAAAUAAUAAGUAGAAAAGGAAAGCAACAUUUUAUGCAUAAACGAUGAUGGAACAAAUAAAAGUAAGCAAAUCAGUUACCAUACGGAAUAUGAAUUUCCUGAAUUCCCCUAAAAGUUAGAGAUUUUAGAUUAACAAAAUAAAAACACCAACAUUUAGCUAGAUGUUGCCUUUAGCAGUAUACCACUUAAAGAAAACAUUACCAACAACAGAAGAUUGAGGACGAGGCCACAAAGAGCAAUACAGGCACAUAACACAAACAGGGCAGAAUUUUCUAUGUACAAUGCACAAAAGAAGACGUGUCUGUCACAAAUAUUUAUGUAGUGAACUCUAAAUCAGCUACAUUGUGAGAACAAAAGCAACAAACAGAAGAAACUUUAAUAAAGCCACUAGCAAUAUAAGGACUUAAAUAUACCUCUUAGAAAAUUUGAAAAUGAAAUAGAAACAGAAUGUACAAAUAUGUAUGUAUAGGAUUUGAAUAAUUUAACUAGUAAGUACAAUUAGAGAGUUAUUUAGAAAGUUACACUCUAAAGUAGUUACUGCACCUUCUUUAGUUAUAGAAAUAUUUAUAAAGAAAUAUUUAUAAAAUUCAUCAAGAACCUGGCUACAAAUAGAAAUUUAAAAAUGUAGAGUUCCUUAAACAAUACCAAAAAAUCGGAAGUAAACAAAAAGGAGACUUGGAAAAAUUUCUGUUUGUAAACUAAGAGAUAGUCUCAUAAAUUACAGCCAUACCUCAGAGAUAUUGCAGGUUGGGUUCCAGACCACAACAAUAGUCAAUAUCACAAUAAAGCAAGUCAAAUGAA